This is a long non-coding RNA of Budorcas taxicolor (takin), 527 nucleotides long. RefSeq lists it as uncharacterized. The transcript is spliced from 4 exons. The record is from RefSeq and is a predicted model, not a curated record. NCBI's taxonomy places the organism in Eukaryota, Metazoa, Chordata, Mammalia, Artiodactyla, Bovidae.
GCCGGAAGAGGCCGGCAGGCCGGAGGGGAGGAGCCGGAAGAGGAAGGGAAGGAGGAGAGGGCGUCCUCAAGGCUCAGGCUUUCGGAGUCUCACUGUCGUGACUGCAGAUACCUGGAGCACAGAGAGCAGUGCCGGGGGUAAGGGAUUUUGGACCUGGCCGUCAUGAAGAAGCUGUUCCAAGUAAAGGGCAGCGGAUCCGGAAAGCUUGUGUCCCUGCCAUUCUAAGUGGACACAUGAAGGACUUAGUGGUGAGACCGGAGGCCCUGGAGCCAGAGAGUGCCCUCCUGGCCCGUGGUCGCCAGGCUGCUGGUCGCUGGCCCCCUGGUGCUGGCCCAUGGUGGCAGAGUCCCACAGGAGCCCGCUCUCCAUGCCGUGCUGACGGAGGCUCUCAGUUCCCACGAGCCCCUGCGUUCUCAGGAGCCACCCGGGGGAGCCGGGAUCUACUGAAACCUGGGUGCCUAGAGCCUGUGCUCCGUGACAAGCGAAGCUCCUGCAAUGAGAAGGCCACACACAGCAAAGACGACCCA